UUUGAUCAUGGCUUCAGAACGAACGCUGGCGGCAUGCCUCAUACAUGCAAGUCGAACGAGGUCUUCGGACCUAGUGGCGCACGGGUGAGUAACAUGUGGGAAUCUACCUGAAGGUUCGGAAUAACUGCGGGAAACUGUAGCUAAUACCGGAUGUGUCUGCAAAGAGAAAGAUUUAUCGCCUUCAGAUGAGCCCGCACUGGAUUAGCUAGUUGGUGAGGUAAUCGCUCCACCAAGGCUACGAUCUAUAGCUGAUUUGAGAGGAUGAUCAGCCACACUGGGACUGAGACACGGCCCAGACUCCUACGGGAGGCAGCAGUAGGGAAUAUUGGACAAUGGGGGAAACCCUGAUCCAGCAAUGCCGCGUGAGUGAAGAAGGCCUUCGGGUUGUAAAGCUCUUUCAUCAAUGAUGAUAAUGACAUUAGUUG
RNAcentral lists this ribosomal RNA (425 nucleotides) under uncultured bacterium BHA19. RNAcentral describes it as "bacterial SSU rRNA". It matches the Rfam family "Bacterial small subunit ribosomal RNA", at positions 12 to 481 of the family's 1533-position model. The record is from RNAcentral.